UUGAUCAUCUAUAUAUUGAGUGUUUUGUAUUGCUGUUGUCAGAUAUAUUUGCACCAUGAAUAAAAUUCUACAUAAUUGUCAAAGAUGUAGAAUUUAUUCUUAAUACAUUUUUUUUAUAUAUGUGGGCUUUAAGGAAUUGUUAAAAAUCCGAUAAACUGGCUGAAGACAAAAUAAUCUGUGGCAUUUAAAAAGAAAGUGGUCUUCCAGCAGUCAUAGCCAAACCUUAUGCCUCAAUGUUAUUUU
Long non-coding RNA from Amblyraja radiata (thorny skate), 243 nucleotides. RefSeq lists it as uncharacterized. NCBI's taxonomy places the organism in Eukaryota, Metazoa, Chordata, Chondrichthyes, Rajiformes, Rajidae. The record is from RefSeq and is a predicted model, not a curated record. The transcript has 2 exons.